UACGGGGGGGGCAAGCGUUGUUCGGAAUUACUGGGCGUAAAGGGCUCGUAGGCGGCCAACUAAGUCCGACGUGAAAUCCCCCGGCUUAACCGGGGAACUGCGUCUGAUACUGGAUAGCUAGAGUUCGGCAGAGGGAAGCGGAAUUUCCGGUGUAGCGGUGAAAUGCGUAGAUAUCGGAAGGAACAUCAGUGGCGAAAGCGGCUUCCUGGACCAGAACUGACGAUCAGGCACGAAAGCGUGGGGAGCAAACGGG
RNAcentral lists this ribosomal RNA (253 nucleotides) under uncultured bacterium. RNAcentral describes it as "partial 16S ribosomal RNA". It matches the Rfam family "Bacterial small subunit ribosomal RNA", at positions 524 to 776 of the family's 1533-position model. The record is from RNAcentral.